This 194-nucleotide ribosomal RNA is filed under the name Haemulon macrostomum. Its description in RNAcentral is "partial large subunit ribosomal RNA". Lineage: Eukaryota; Metazoa; Chordata; Actinopteri; Lutjaniformes; Haemulidae. The record is from RNAcentral.
AUAGGGACCUGUAUGAAUGGCAUAACGAGGGCUUAGCUGUCUCCUUUUUCAAGUCAAUGAAAUUGAUCUCCCCGUGCAGAAGCGGGGAUAAAGCCAUAAGACGAGAAGACCCUGUGGAGCUUUAGACACCAAGGUAGAUCAUGUUAAGCACCCCAAAACAAAGGACUAAACUAGAUGAGCCCUGCCCUCAUGUC